Molecule: long non-coding RNA, 246 nt
Filed under: Bos taurus (domestic cattle)
Lineage: Eukaryota; Metazoa; Chordata; Mammalia; Artiodactyla; Bovidae
Description: long non-coding RNA NONBTAT015202
Source: RNAcentral
UCUUAUUCUGUAUUCUGAGUGUGUACUUGCAAGUUGUUAAUAUCUAAGGUUUUUUUUUUUAAACCUUAAAUCAUAUUUAACGUUUUUGCUUACUUCAUCUGUUCUUUAGACAUUGCCAGAUUUUCUUCUUUGUUAAAAUUAUUUUAAUUUCACUUUAUUUGUGCCUUUAUUGUCAGUUUCAUCAAGACUAAGAUUUUGAAGGUGAAAAACAAUCAGUCUAGUCUCUUGCUAGUUCAAAUCAAAUAA